This 404-nucleotide ribosomal RNA is filed under the name uncultured prokaryote. Its description in RNAcentral is "bacterial SSU rRNA". It matches the Rfam family "Bacterial small subunit ribosomal RNA", at positions 355 to 776 of the family's 1533-position model. RNAcentral also lists the same sequence under 1 other name. The record is from RNAcentral.
UGGGGGAUAUUGCACAAUGGGGGAAACCCUGAUGCAGCAACGCCGCGUGAAGGAAGAAGGUCUUCGGAUUGUAAACUUCUGUCUUGUGGGAAGAUAAUGACGGUACCACAGGAGGAAGCAACGGCUAACUACGUGCCAGCAGCCGCGGUAAUACGUAGGUUGCAAGCGUUGUCCGGAUUUACUGGGUGUAAAGGGUGCGUAGGCGGGUACGCUAGUCAGAUGUGAAAGGCCAAGGCUCAACCAUGGUAUUGCAUUUGAAACUGUGUAUCUUGAGUGCAGGAGAGGUAAGCGGAAUUCCCAGUGUAGCGGUGAAAUGCGUAGAUAUUGGGAGGAACACCAGUGGCGAAGGCGGCUUACUGGACUGUAACUGACGCUGAGGCACGAAAGCGUGGGGAUCAAACAGG